RNAcentral lists this ribosomal RNA (433 nucleotides) under uncultured bacterium. Its description in RNAcentral is "partial 16S ribosomal RNA". It matches the Rfam family "Bacterial small subunit ribosomal RNA", at positions 29 to 507 of the family's 1533-position model. The record is from RNAcentral.
AACGAACGCUGGCGGCAUGCCUAACACAUGCAAGUCGAACGAGACCUUCGGGUCUAGUGGCGCACGGGUGCGUAACGCGUGGGAACCUGCCCUUAGGUUCGGAAUAACUCCCCGAAAGGGGUGCUAAUACCGGAUAAUGUCUUCGGACCAAAGAUUUAUCGCCUUUGGAUGGGCCUGCGUUGGAUUAGCUAGUUGGUAGGGUAAAAGCCUACCAAGGCGACGAUCCAUAGCUGGUCUGAGAGGAUGAUCAGCCACACUGGGACUGAGACACGGCCCAGACUCCUACGGGAGGCAGCAGUGGGGAAUAUUGGACAAUGGGCGAAAGCCUGAUCCAGCAAUGCCGCGUGAGUGAUGAAGGCCUUAGGGUUGUAAAGCUCUUUUACCCGGGAUGAUAAUGGCAGUACCGGGAGAAUAAGCUCCGGCUAACUCCGUG